GCUCUAAUAGCGUAUAUUAAUGUUGUUGCAGUUAAAAAGCUCGUAGUUGGAUUGGUGUUCGACAAAUGGUCUGCUUCGGUUUGUACUGUUUGUUGGCGCUUCUUUUCUGGGGAACUCACUGCUCUUAACUGAGGGGUGUUGUAACGCAGAUCGUUUACUUUGAAAAAAUUAGAGUGUUCAAAGCAGGCCAACGCAUUUUG
Molecule: ribosomal RNA, 200 nt
Filed under: uncultured eukaryote
Lineage: Eukaryota
Description: partial 18S ribosomal RNA
Rfam family: Eukaryotic small subunit ribosomal RNA
Source: RNAcentral